GAGGACCCCAAUAAAGUCUCGCGCACGUUUCUUUUCUCGUUCUCUUCGUCUCUGGUGCUUAGUGUACUAAAGGAGGUUUGCUGAUAUGGACCUCGGAUGCAGACGUGUUGAAAAUGGCUUUACUGAUUGGUCUGAAGAUGGAACCUAGAUGUUUUUCUUACCUGUGGUUUGAAAUCUACUACAUGAAUCAUCCACUAAUCUAGUCGGUUCCUAGUUACCACAUGAAGUGAGCUCCUGUGAAUCCUGAUGGAGAUUGGUGUCUAGAACCUGCUGAGCUUUCACCAGGAUGGACCCCUUUGCACCCGGAGUGCAAAAGCUUUUCAUUCAGACUUGUGCAUCAGUGGGGCGAGGAUGAGAGACGUGCUGUUCAUUUUAUUCAUGAUUCUUUAAAAAAUAAUAAUGCCAAGUUGGUGUUGAUGCAAAUAAAGCUUUAAAAUGUU
Molecule: long non-coding RNA, 440 nt
Organism: Tachysurus vachellii
Lineage: Eukaryota; Metazoa; Chordata; Actinopteri; Siluriformes; Bagridae
Exons: 6
Source: RefSeq, a predicted model, not a curated record